This is a long non-coding RNA of Pararge aegeria (speckled wood butterfly), 944 nucleotides long. RefSeq lists it as uncharacterized. The transcript has 3 exons. Lineage: Eukaryota; Metazoa; Arthropoda; Insecta; Lepidoptera; Nymphalidae. The record is from RefSeq and is a predicted model, not a curated record.
UUCAAAAUUAACACUAUAAUACCUACUUCAGUUGAAAGUUCACAAGUUAUAGAACAUAUGGUAAUUGACGACAACUUUGCUCAAUCCAGUUCAAAUACAAAUAUUCAGUCUUUUGCUAUACAAUCGGAGGCCAUGUUGACUACAACUAAAAGUAUAUACACAUAAAAGUCCCCAAUGAAAUGAACCUACCAUGAGAAAGUCACCAUCACUCACACCGCGAACGAUGCUAAGAAAGUUGCAAAGAACCAGACAACAGUCAGCAGAUAGGCUUAAAAAACUGCGAGCUCUUCGGGAAAAAAGUAGAAGAUUAUUAAAGGAAGUGGCAAAUUUGGAAAAUAGCAUUUAUCGCAGAACAAAAUAUAAUGCUGAAACUUAUAUCUUCGACUUUGAAAAUUUGCCAAUCUGUGUUUACCAAAGACCAUUUUAAUAACCAGACUUUUCUGGUAAUCACCGGAUCUUGUUGAUCAAAGCAAUAACGGCGCGGUAUUUUGAAAUCCGCAUUCACCAUCCCACAAAAAUUUGCACCGGAGGAUAAAAUCAGAAAUAUCAAUACUAAACUUAUACUCUUUAAGGGGCAGUAAACAAAGAAGUCUGUUAUUAAUUUACGAAUUAUUAUUUUUUUUGUUAACAAUGGUAUCCUUGAUAAUCUUUAACAAAUUGCCUGCCAAAAUACAUUUUUUUACAUUCAUGAACCCUCGGUUAUCUUUAAUUAAAACUAGUGGUUCGAAAAAACGCGACUUCGUUUGCUCACAUUUUUCUAUAGCCGUCCGCGAUAUAUAGAUUCUUCUGAAUUGAGCUGAUUGAUGCGAAACCUACAUUAUGCUUCUCUCUUGUGUGGUGUACUUGUUAAAUUGUUAUUAUUACACUUCAAUUUUAUGAUUGUAAAGAAACCAUUUAAAUGCCAGUAAAACAGCAAAACAAUUUUUGUUAAUAGUAACAAAAUA